RNAcentral lists this long non-coding RNA (2330 nucleotides) under Olea europaea subsp. europaea. Lineage: Eukaryota; Viridiplantae; Streptophyta; Magnoliopsida; Lamiales; Oleaceae. The record is from RNAcentral.
AGGAAGUACUAUAAGCUUAUGCUUACCAAAUGUACUGCCAGCCGAAUAUUGGAAAUAUAAUUCAAAGAAAGCUGUAACUGCUACAACAGCAGGUGGAAAUAAGGUAAUAUAUAGCAAGUAUGCUACUCAAGUACCCUUUCUAAUCUCUUUUAGAGAAGUAUUUGUUGAUACAGUAUAUAUGUCAACCACAAUUGGAUGUGAUAUUUUAUUAGGACAGAAUUUCCUAUUAAAAUAUGCACCAUUUACACAAUAUAUUGAUAAAUAUAUGUUCACAACACCUUGUGCACAUAAGAUAUUUACACCAAAAAUAAAUAAAGCUGUUACGAUUGCAUAUAGAGAAAUAAAUCAUCAGAGUUCCUCAACCCAGCGUGGUGGAUGUUGGAGUACAGAAAAAUUCAAACCAGUUACAGUUUUAAAAAUGACAACAGAAAAUAGGAUUGAAAAAUUAAAAAAGGAAAUUUCUGAAACAUAUUCUGAAAAUCCAUUAGAAAAAUGGAAUAUUGAUAAAGUAAAGGCCAAAAUAGAAUUAACCAAUCCAGAUACUAUUGUUAGAGUUAAACCUAUGAAAUAUAGUGUUGAUGAUCAAAAAGAAUUUAGAAAUCAGAUAAAAGAACUGCUAGAAGCUAAAUUAAUUAGACCUAGUAAAAGCCCUCAUAGCAGUCCAGCCUUUAUGGUUAGAAAACAUAGUGAGAUAAAAAGAGGAAAAGCCAGAAUGGUGAUAAAUUAUAAAAAAUUAAAUGAAGUAACUAAGUUCGAUGGAUAUUACUUGCCAAAUAAGGAUACCCUUAUUAAACAAGUACAAAACAAAAAGAUAUUUUCAAAAUUUGAUUGUAAGUCAGGGUUUUGGCAAAUCAUGCUUACAGAGGAAAGUAAACCACUAACUGCAUUUAGUACCCCCAAUCCUUUAGGACAAUACGAAUGGAAUGUAAUGCCAUUUGGGUUGAAAAAUGCACCACAGAUAUUUCAGAGAAGAAUGGAUGAGGUAAUCAAACCAAUUACUCAUUUUUGUAUUGCAUAUGUAGAUGAUUUACUUAUUCAUUCAAAUAAUAUUGAUGAACAUAUUGAGCAUCUUGAGAAAUUUUGUUAUAUUAUGAAAAAACAUGGUAUUACACUUUCUCGAAAGAAAGCUGAGAUAGCCAAAACAGAAAUAGAAUUCUUAGGAUUAUUUAUAAAAGAAGGAGAAUUGCAAUUGCAAUCCCAUAUUGGAGAAAAGCUUCAAGAAUUUCCUGAAGAAAUCAAAGAUAAAAAACAAUUACAAAGCUUCCUUGGUAUAUUAAAUUAUGCUGAAGGAUUCAUUGAAAAUUGUGCCAAACUGAAAAAUUAUUUUCUUCCAAAAUUAAGAAAAAAUAUAAUGUGGUCUUGGGAAGAACAAGAUUGUGAAAAUAUAAGAAAGGUAAAAGAAGAAUUAAAGGUAUUACCCAAACUUGUAAUACCCCAAGAAGAAGAUUUUUUUAUCCUGGAAACUGAUGCUUCAGACUACUACUGGGGAGCAGUGUUAAAGGUUAAAAAGAAUCAUAAGGAAUAUAAGUGUGAAAAAGAUUGUUCUUGUCCUGAAAUACUUGCAGGUUACACAUCAGGAACAUUCAAAGAAGUUGAAACAAGAUAUGAGACGAAUAGAAAAGAACUCAUUGCUGUAAAAAGAGGAGUUCAAAAAUAUGAAGAUUACUUAUUACCAAAGAAGUUCUUGAUCAGAACUGAUAAUACUCAAGUUAAAGCAUUUUUGAAAAAUAAUGUUGAUCCAUCUAUUAACAAUAGAUAUAUUAUUAGGAUCCAAAUUUGGUUUUCAUAUUUCAAAUUUGAUAUUGAAUACAUAAAAGGAAAAACUAAUUUUCUUCCUGAUUAUCUUAGCAGGGAUGGAGCUAGAACAAUUAAGGACGAAAGUCCAGAUACUUGAGAUAAAAGUUUCCUAUUUGGAAACUCAAAUUCAAAAUAUCCAAGAUAGCCUUCAAGGCAAGAAUUUAGCCCAUGAGGCAGAAGUUACUUGUACCAAAUCUAGUAUCCCUUUGCAGGGACUUGUGAAUACUAGUGCUCUUCCCGAGGAUAAAGGGAAAGAAAAGAAAGUAAUAGGAACCCCUUCGCAGGGAAUACUCAAACCUAUUACUGGUAAUAAAGAUAUUCCAGAUAUCAAAAAAGAAGGUAGCUCUUCACAGAGCCAAACUCAAUCUAAACUUUCUAUUGAAAGGAUAGAUCCUAAAGAUAUUGUCAAAAUAUGCCAUGAAGCAAAAAUGCCGAGAAAAGAUAGUUAUGAAGAAGUAACAUUGUUUAUUGUUAUUUUUAACAUUCUAUCAGAUUGGUAUUUGGAGAUUGGAAAGUGGAUGAAGACUCUCCAC